AGGACAGUCCUGGACAACGAAGUCCUCUGUCCAUAUAAUAGGUACAUAAUAGGCAUUGGGAAAGCAAGUUCCCCCCCCACAUCCUGCCAACUUGCCUCACCCUUGACCUGAAAGGAGCAGCUCUCUCGGUGAGAGAGCAGUUGUCUCUAUGCUAAUUCAGUUUUUUCUCUC
This 171-nucleotide small RNA is filed under the name Chelonoidis abingdonii (Abingdon island giant tortoise). Its description in RNAcentral is "TUC338 (ENSCABG00000009635.1)". Lineage: Eukaryota; Metazoa; Chordata; Testudines; Testudinidae. The record is from RNAcentral.